GAUGAACGCUGGCGGCGUGCCUAAAACAUGCAAGUCGUGCGGUAACAGGCCCUUCGGGGUGCUGACGAGCGGCGGACGGCUGAGUAACGCGUGGGAACGUGCCCCAAAGUGAGGGAUAACUGCCCGAAAGGGUGGCUAAUACCGCAUAUGGUCUUCGGAUUAAAGCUUUUAGCGCUUUGGGAGCGGCCCGCGUCAGAUUAGAUAGUUGGUGAGGUAAUGGCUCACCAAGUCGAUGAUCUGUAACUGGUUUGAGAGGAUGAUCAGUCAGACUGGAACUGAGAAACGGUCCAGACUCCUACGGGAGGCAGCAGUUAGGAAUAUUCCACAAUGGGCGAAAGCCUGAUGGAGCAACGCCGCGUGGAGGAUGAAGGCCUUCGGGUUGUAAACUUCUUUUCUAUGCGAAGAAUAUGACGGUAACAUAGGAAUAAGGGUCUGCUAACUACGUGCCAGCAGCCGCGGUCAUACGUAGGACCCAAGCGUUAUCCGGAUUGACUGGGCGUAAAGAGUUGCGUAGGUGGCGAUUUAAGCGAAUAGUGAAAUCUUGUGGCUCAACCAUAAGGCUAUUAUUCGAACUGGGUCGCUCGAGAAUGGGAGAGGUAUCUGGAAUUUCUCAUGUAGGGGUAAUAUCCGUAGAUAUGAGAAGGAACACCAAUGGCGUAGGCAGGAUACUGGCCCAUUUCUGACACUGAGGCACGAAAGCGUGGGGAGCGAACCGGAUUAGAUACCCGGGUAGUCCACGCCGUAAACGAUGAAUACUAGCUGUAUGCAGUAUCGACCCUGUGUGUAGCGAAGCUAACGCGUUAAGUAUUCCGCCUGGGGAGUACGGUCGCAAGACUAAAACUCAAAGGAAUUGACGGGGACCCGCACAAGCGGUGGAGCGUGUUGUUUAAUUCGAUGGUAAGCGAAGAACCUUACCAAGGCUUGACAUCCUGAGAAUUACUCCGAAAGGAGUGAGUGCCGGGUUAGAGUACAGAAUUAUUCACACAUUGCACGCGAUUUAUAAAUACGCGUGGGAUGGAGUGAAAUUGUGUAUUGUAACCCGGAACUCAGUGACAGGUGUUGCAUGGCCGUCGUCAGCUCGUGUCGUGAGAUGUUUGGUUAAGUCCAUCAACGAGCGCAACCCUUAUGAUUAGUUGGAUUUUUCUAGUCAGACUGCCCCGGUAACGGGGAGGAAGGAGGGGAUGAUGUCAGGUCAGUAUUACCCUUACGCCUUGGGCGACAAACGCGCUACAAUGGCCGGUACAAUGGGCAGCCAAGUUGUGAAACGGAGCAAAUCCCAUCAAAGCCGGUCCCAGUUCGGAUUGCAGGCUGAAACUCGCCUGCAUGAAGUCGGAAUCGCUAGUAAUCGCAGAUCAGAAUGCUGCGGUGAAUACGUUCCCGGGUCUUGUACACACCGCCCGUCAAACCACGAAAGUCACCAACACCCGAAGUCUGAAUUUAUUUCGGCCUAAGGUGGGGGGGAUGAUUGGGGU
Molecule: ribosomal RNA, 1472 nt
Filed under: uncultured bacterium
Lineage: Bacteria
Description: 16S ribosomal RNA
Rfam family: Bacterial small subunit ribosomal RNA
Source: RNAcentral